Molecule: ribosomal RNA, 786 nt
Filed under: uncultured organism
Description: bacterial SSU rRNA
Rfam family: Bacterial small subunit ribosomal RNA
Source: RNAcentral
CCUGGCUCCCGAUGACGCUGGCGGUCUGCUUACACAUGCAAGUCGAACGGGCUCUUCGGAGCUAGUGGCGGACGGGUGAGUAACGCGUGAGAAUCUGCCUUCAGGAGGGGGAUAACGACUGGAAACGGUCGCUAAUACCCCAUAUGCCUCCGGGUGAAAAGUAAUUCGCCUGAAGAUGAGCUCGCGUCAGAUUAGCUAGUUGGUGGGGUAAGAGCCUACCAAGGCGACGAUCUGUAGCUGGUCUGAGAGGAUGAUCAGCCACACUGGGACUGAGACACGGCCCAGACUCCUACGGGAGGCAGCAGUGGGGAAUUUUCCGCAAUGGGCGCAAGCCUGACGGAGCAAGACCGCGUGGGGAAUGACGGCCUAAUGGUUGUAAACCCCUUUUCUCUGGGAAGAAGACUGACGGUACCAGAGGAAUCAGCCUCGGCUAACUCCGUGCCAGCAGCCGCGGUAAUACGGAGGAGGCAAGCGUUAUCCGGAAUUAUUGGGCGUAAAGCGUCCGUAGGUGGUUAUUCAAGUCUGCUGUCAAAGCGUGGGGCUUAACUCCAUAGAGGCAGUGGAAACUGAGUGACUAGAGUGCGGUAGGGGUCGAGGGAAUUCCCUGUGUAGCGGUGAAAUGCGUAGAUAUUGGGAAGAACACCAGUGGCGAAAGCGCUCGACUGGGCCUGCACUGACACUGAGGGACGAAAGCUAGGGGAGCGAACGGGAAUAGAUACCCCUGUAGUCCUAGCCGUAAACGAUGGAUACUAGGUGUUGCUCGUCAUCGACCCGAGCCGUGCCGUA